Long non-coding RNA from Ictalurus punctatus (channel catfish), 1178 nucleotides. The record is from Ensembl. Lineage: Eukaryota; Metazoa; Chordata; Actinopteri; Siluriformes; Ictaluridae.
AAAUGUGUUUGUGGCAGGUUUAAUGAGAGCUGACAGACAAGUGCAAGCUGCUCCAUUCAGUUCUUAAGAUCACAUCAGUUUAUGUGUGGAUGCAGAAGUUUCUGUUCCUGACUUUAGGGUGGAGGAUUGUUAAAAUUUCUUGUAAGGAGACCAUGCACUGUGCAGCAUUAGAAGAACGAAUACUCUGCAAGGCAACCUGCUGUGUGUGCACCUAAGAAUGCACUAAUCUGCACAUGGACUUUCAUUUCCACAUGGUGUUAUUUUAUUCAUAUGCCAGGCAUAUUCCACUAUAAUCAAAUAAUAUUGAGACUUUAACUGCCAUCUUGUUGCAGAAUCAGUAAUAUUGCAUAGUCCAAAUGAACCCCAGAAGCCUGGAUGGCCUAAACAACUGUGUACGAUUGUUUGGAGGACACAGGCAUCAUGUUGCUAGACAUCAAUGUUGUUAUGGUUAAGUGCUGAAGGAUGGUUAAAUGACAUGACCCCUAUAAAGGACAGUGUUGCACUGCCUGCUUCCAACUCUUGACUAGAAAUUAGUGACACUUAUGACUAAAGCUGGUCGUAAACUAUACAGAAAUGCCUUUGAUUCUGGAAAGGCUUUAAAAGUGCAGUGAGUGAUUUUAGCAGAAGCUAGCUGUUUCAAAAUUUUAAAUCCAAACAUCCAUCUAAUGUCUAUCCAACACAGAUACCCAAAGCACAUGCACCUCCUAGAUUACAAUGCCUGGUGCAAGAAGGAGAGCGUUCAACCUGAUUGACAAACAGCUAGAGCUGCUCUAAAUGUUCUGACUGGUUGGAUAUUGGAGACUAAUGAUGAAAAUAUAUAGUAAAGUGUUGCCAUAAAAUGUGCAUGUUGACAUAUUGACAGCUUCUUCUAGCCCUACAGAGGUGGCUCAAUAAACUAGCACAAGAAAGUGGUCACGGUGACCUUUCUUUAUUUAAUGAUUCAUGAUUCAUCAUUCAUUUAAAUGAUGGCUUCAGUCAACCUGCCAAAUGUGCUUGCUGACAUGAUCAUAGGAUCAGUGUGACUGAAUACAGGAGCCAGGUUAGUACAGACUAACCCAUGAACAGUGAGUGACCAGUCAUAAUGGGUAAGCUUCGCUCAUACUCCCAAACAUUAGAUGAGGAAUGCAUGCUUUAGCAUUCCUGUGUAGCACCGUCACUACAUUUCAGGCAUAGCUCCC